AUCAAUGACCAUAGCACCCUGAAUUACUCAAUCUUGUCUGAUCUUGGAUGACCCUAAACAGGGUCAGGACUGGUUAGUACUGGGAUUGGAGAUGACCUAGGAAUACCAGGUGCUGUAGGGU
Molecule: ribosomal RNA, 121 nt
Filed under: Cebus imitator (Panamanian white-faced capuchin)
Lineage: Eukaryota; Metazoa; Chordata; Mammalia; Primates; Cebidae
Source: RNAcentral